Long non-coding RNA from Pogoniulus pusillus (Red-fronted tinkerbird), 3072 nucleotides. RefSeq lists it as uncharacterized. Lineage: Eukaryota; Metazoa; Chordata; Aves; Piciformes; Lybiidae. The transcript is spliced from 2 exons. The record is from RefSeq and is a predicted model, not a curated record.
AGUGGUUGAGUUUAUGUGGCUUCCAGCUCAUCAUACAGUCCUUGUGUUUGCAGGGCUAUUAGAAAUCCCACGGUAAGGCAUCAGAAUCUGCUUCAUAUAGGCAGGACCGAAACCACUAUGACUUUAAAUGAGGUAACAUGCUUUCGUGUGUUUCUGCUCAGCAGCUCUUGUGUGCCUUGAGUCAGCUCUGAGUGAGAAAAAGGAAUGGUUAUUUCAGUAUUUCAAAAAAGUCUGUCUACACAGAUGAUAUUCUAGGAGAUGGUUGUUCAAAGGGAAAAAGAGGGCAAACACCUAAAGGAAAUCUUUUAAACAGCAAGAACCUCUGUCUCCAAGUGCAACAGAGCAAAAUGGAAAUUCUGCUAGCUUUCUAGCCCCUACUUUUAGCUAAUGCAGACUGUAGCCAGGUCCAGCAAAAGACAGAUGGCAGAAAUAUCAGUGUCCAUCUUCAUAUGGAAGCAAGAACUUUUGAAGACUUUUUAAUCUUGGAAGAUGAAUUAUUAUAAGGACUCUGGAUCAGGAAACCGCCCUGUAGGAAGCUGCUGCUAACACUGGCUGCUCCACUUCAAACUUCCUUUGAGACUGCUGGCUGAUUUAAGUAACUGUUACGGAGGUAUCCCCAUCCGAAGAACAGCCACACCUGUGGCUUCAGUCAACAUCUGUCUUUUGAGAACGUGGAGGAAAAAUACACAAUACAAAGAUGUAUUGGAGGCUGUGCUAUCUAAUAAUUGGACACUGGAGCAGGAAGUAUUCUUUUUGUGUGAUCAAAAAUUAUGCUGACAUUUAUUCUACAUAUUUAGAGCCCACCCACCUAUAGAACAUACUACAGCUUUGAGUACAAGAAAUUAAUUCAGCAAACAUGAGUUCUUCAUGACUCUAUGAGUAAUUUCCCUGAAAUAGUAGGGAUAAUGUGAGGAUGUAUUUUGGGAGUGUCCCUAGGACUAGGACGGGUACCAAGGGGUUUAGAUAGAGAAAGGAGUACUUCCUUUUUAGUUAAUGAUCUAAAACUGUUUUAAUAUCCUUGAAUUGGUUCUUCCCUUGGCAAAUAAUUUUCAUACUCUAAGUAGUUACCUUUGCUUGUGCCUAGCACGAGUGAAUUCUAGCAGCUAUGCUUUUGGUAGCAUGCUAAUGCAGCAAUACCUUUUUUAUAUCACAGUAAUUUUCUUUCACUGCUGAAACACCACUGCUUUACAGAAAACUGCAGUGAGAAAAUGGGCAGGUCACAACCUCCAUUUAGGAUGUUUUGUCUUCUCUGCUUUGGGCUUUUCACCUUGUCACAGGUUAUGGAGCCUUUGUACCUUCUGAUUCUGCCACUCUUAUUCUUGGCACUGAUAACUGACUCUGUUGUUCAAGAUCAAAUCAUUAAUUACAUUCCAAAAGGUAGCAAAAUGUGUUGUGUUCCAAAAGGUAGCAAAAUGUGUUGUGUUCCAAAAGGUAGCAAAAUGUGUUGUGUUCCAAAAGGUAGCAAAAUGUGUUGUGUUCCAAAAGGUAUAAAAAAAAAUUGGCUGCUUGCUUCAUUUUUCUUAGAGGGUGUCAAUGCAUUUUAGGAGGCCAGCCAUGCCAUUCCCACUACACUCUAGCAACUCUGCCAUCACAAAAAAGACAAACAAAAAACCCAAACACAUACCUCCCAGAAAAAAAAAUAAGAGAGAAGGUAUUCUUGGAAUGCAAUUUCAUAUAUAGAGCUGAGCAGUCCUCUCCUUUUGUACUGGAAUGCUUUAAAUGUUUUAUUUUGGUGUCUAACCGAGUAACAUAUAGAUGUCCUGAGACGAUGGGGUAUCCAUAACUAUGUCUUUCAGAACAAAAAUGCCUCUUAAGAUGAGGGAUGAGGGUCAGGCCUUUGGAGGAUGGACAGAGAGACUGUCAUGAAUAAUAAUAUGAAAAGCAUCUUUUUCUUUCCAUCACAGUAGAAGUCAUCAAUAGCAUCUCCUCCCUGGGUCAUUCCCAAUGGGACUGGUCAAGCUGUGAUGUAGAGAGGUCUUCUGCACCUACCAAAGCGGAGAGAAAAGCAGGCACACCUCAACACUGGCAGAGUGGAGAGGUGUUUAUAAGCACUGUCGGGAAGGUGUCAAAUGAUUGAUAGUGAUAAGGCCUGGUCACACUCCUCUGCUGUCCAUUGCAGAAAAAGUGUUUAUGCUGCCUCUGUCUGGGCUUCCCCUCUGUCGCCAGUGUGUUCUGUGUGAGUAUAGAGCUAAGAGGUGUUUUUAACUCCAGUGUUUUGGAGAACUGGAAGUUAAGUGAGACAACAAAAAAGGUGGAGAAUUACUGCCUUAAUCUGCAUGUAUUUUAAUUACAUGUCCUGAACAGGGCUGUCCUCUUAGGAAAUGUUUGUUAAACACCCUGAAAUGUGAUAGCCCUUCCAAUGUCACAGUAACUGCAUGCUUCCCAGAAGAGGUUUGGCAGUCCUAAAUUGCAGAAGUGAGUUUUGCAAUUGGAAAUCACGGAUUGCAGCAAUGCUGGAAAUAAAACAAGAAGUGGAAUCAGCAGUAAAAAACAUUUUGGACAUUACUGUCUUCAAUAGUUCAUCAAAAGACCUACUACUUGUAUGAGUUCAUCCAGCUGAAAUAUAAAAAUGCACACUGUAACACAUUGCAGUGUUGUUGACAGGGAAGAAGCUGUGAAUUAUUAUUGCAUAAAACUGUGAGUCAAGACCACUAAUGUGUUUUUACAGUGUUGCCUGUAGCUUAAUUGCACUUGCUGCUGAUAGUGUAUUAUAUCUUCUUAUAUCUUCAUGGCUACACAGGCAUUAAUUUAAUCAGAGAUAAUAAAUGAAACCUCUGGAAUUAAUUACAGGUUGUAACAGUUUUUUUGCUUUACUAGAACAGGCAGGAAGACAAAAACAUGUGGACCCAUAAACAUUAACUGGCUUUUGCAACCCAGUCAUUACAGAAGAAAGACAAUGAAGAUUAAAUUACGUGGAGAUGUAGCUGAGAAUGUGCAGGCAUUUCCACAGCAGUUCUCCAUGUGGAAGAUCUUGACUAACUUAGCCAUCUCUUGGAUCCUUUCAAACCCAGAUGCAUCUUGUGUUUGAAUCUAUAUAAAAGAUCUAAGCUUAAGAAUUGCUUUUGCAGAUAC